This 253-nucleotide ribosomal RNA is filed under the name uncultured bacterium. RNAcentral describes it as "partial 16S ribosomal RNA". It matches the Rfam family "Bacterial small subunit ribosomal RNA", at positions 524 to 776 of the family's 1533-position model. The record is from RNAcentral.
GACGUAGGGUGCAAGCGUUGUCCGGAUUUAUUGGGCGUAAAGAGCUCGUAGGCGGCUUGUUGCGUCGACUGUGAAAACCCGCGGCUUAACCGCGGGCUUGCAGUUGAUACGGGCAGGCUAGAGUUCGGUAGGGGAGACUGGAAUUCCUGGUGUAGCGGUGAAAUGCGCAGAUAUCAGGAGGAACACCGGUGGCGAAGGCGGAUCUCUGGGCCUUACCUGACGCUCAGGUGCGAAAGCUAGGGGAGCGAACAGG